AUAUUAUAGUAGAAAAUAUUUUUAACUAGAAUUUUGAAGGAAGAGGAUACAUAAGUAAGAAGUAUAAGUCUGAAUUCAACUAUACGAUGGUGUUUUCUUUUGACAAUACCAUUUUAUUCUCGAGCAUUGGGCAACAAAAUUAGUACAUUAUGCUAUGUAAANAUAAAAAUACUUUAAAAAUACUACUUUUUGAUUCACCAUCCCCAAC
This 208-nucleotide long non-coding RNA is filed under the name Elaeis guineensis (African oil palm). RNAcentral's name for it is "long non-coding RNA (EGUI_LNC040645)". Lineage: Eukaryota; Viridiplantae; Streptophyta; Magnoliopsida; Arecales; Arecaceae. The record is from RNAcentral.